CCUACGGGAGGCAGCAGUGGGGAAUCUUCCACAAUGGGCGAAAGCCUGAUGGAGCAACGCCGCGUGCAGGAUGAAGGCCUUCGGGUCGUAAACUGCUUUUAUUUGUGAAGAAUAUGACGGUAACAAAUGAAUAAGGGUCGGCUAACUACGUGCCAGCAGCCGCGGUCAUACGUAGGACCCAAGCGUUAUCCGGAGUGACUGGGCGUAAAGAGUUGCGUAGGUGGUUUGUAAAGCGAAUAGUGAAAUCUGGCGGCUCAACCGUACAGGCUAUUAUUCGAACUCACAAACUCGAGAAUGGUAGAGGUUACUGGAAUUUCUAGUGUAGGAGUGAAAUCCGUAGAUAUUAGAAGGAACACCAAUGGCGUAGGCAGGUAACUGGACCAUUUCUGACACUAAGGCACGAAAGCGUGGGGAGCGAACCGGCUUAGAUACCCUUGUAGUC
RNAcentral lists this ribosomal RNA (442 nucleotides) under uncultured bacterium. RNAcentral describes it as "bacterial SSU rRNA". It matches the Rfam family "Bacterial small subunit ribosomal RNA", at positions 338 to 795 of the family's 1533-position model. The record is from RNAcentral.